This is a long non-coding RNA of Pan troglodytes (chimpanzee), 488 nucleotides long. RefSeq lists it as uncharacterized. NCBI's taxonomy places the organism in Eukaryota, Metazoa, Chordata, Mammalia, Primates, Hominidae. The record is from RefSeq and is a predicted model, not a curated record. The transcript has 3 exons.
UCCUUUAUAGAUGCUGGGAUUGUACUGUUAUGAAUAUGGAUGUGCAAAUAUGCCUUUGAGAGCCUGAUUUUAAUUCUUAUGGAUAAAUAUCCAGAAGAGGGAUUGCUGCAUCAUAUGCAACCCCAUGAGGUCGGUAAUGCUAUGACAAUCACUGCCAUUUCAUUGGUGAGGAAGUUGAAGCAAAUAAAGUCUAAGUAACUUGUCCAGCCCCACAUCAUUAUGUAGUGGUUUCUCAGAGGCUUGAAUCAAGGCCAUCUGGAUCCAGAGUGCCAGCUCUUAACCACCACGUUAUGCUGACUCUUCUAUUUGGGGUAUUUUAAACAUGGAACCAGUGUUCUAAAAAAAAAGCUGCAAAUGAAUGAAAUAGUAUGUGAGAAACCUGAUCAAUUCAAAUUUUUUGAAUAAAACUAAUGAAUUAAUAAAGAGAUGUUAAUUUUUAGAGCUUCCUGUAUUGAUUUUAUGUAUUUAUUUCACAAAUUAAUUUUUGA